GCAGGCUGUAGCGCAGGGGCUAGCGCAGCAGGCUCCCGACUUUUGGAGCUGGCGCGGCGGCGUAUUUGAGUUUGACCAACCGAUCGCAUGGCAGGCACCCAGCCAGCCGCA
This 111-nucleotide transfer RNA is filed under the name Leptolyngbyaceae cyanobacterium RM1_405_57. RNAcentral's name for it is "tRNA-Gly". The record is from RNAcentral. Lineage: Bacteria; Bacillati; Cyanobacteriota; Cyanophyceae; Leptolyngbyales; Leptolyngbyaceae.